UACAGAGGGGGCAAGCGUUGUCCGGAUUUACUGGGCGUAAAGAGCGUGUAGGCGGCCAGGCAGGUCUGUUGUGAAAACUGGAGGCUCAACUUCCAGACGUCGACAGAAACCGCUUGGCUAGAGUCCGGAAGAGGAGAGUGGAAUUCCUGGUGUAGCGGUGAAAUGCGCAGAUAUCAGGAAGAACACCGAUGGCGAAGGCAGCUCUCUGGGACGGUACUGACGCUGAGACGCGAAAGCGUGGGGAGCGAACAGG
RNAcentral lists this ribosomal RNA (253 nucleotides) under uncultured bacterium. RNAcentral describes it as "partial 16S ribosomal RNA". It matches the Rfam family "Bacterial small subunit ribosomal RNA", at positions 524 to 776 of the family's 1533-position model. The record is from RNAcentral.